GACGAACGCUGGCGGCGUGCCUAAUACAUGCAAGUUGAGCGCUGAAGGUUGGUACUUGUACCGACUGGAUGAGCAGCGAACGGGUGAGUAACGCGUGGGGAAUCUGCCUUUGAGCGGGGGACAACAUUUGGAAACGAAUGCUAAUACCGCAUAAAAACUUUAAACACAAGUUUUAAGUUUGAAAGAUGCAAUUGCAUCACUCAAAGAUGAUCCCGCGUUGUAUUAGCUAGUUGGUGAGGUAAAGGCUCACCAAGGCGAUGAUACAUAGCCGACCUGAGAGGGUGAUCGGCCACAUUGGGACUGAGACCCGGCCCAAACUCCUACGGGAGGCAGCAGUAGGGAAUCUUCGGCAAUGGACGAAAGUCUGACCGAGCAACGCCGCGUGAGUGAAGAAGGUUUUCGGAUCGUAAAACUCUGUUGGUAGAGAAGAACGUUGGUGAGAGUGGAAAGCUCAUCAAGUGACGGUAACUACCCAGAAAGGGACGGCUAACUACGUG
This 497-nucleotide ribosomal RNA is filed under the name uncultured bacterium. RNAcentral's name for it is "partial 16S ribosomal RNA". It matches the Rfam family "Bacterial small subunit ribosomal RNA", at positions 28 to 507 of the family's 1533-position model. The record is from RNAcentral.